UUUAAAGUGCUUGUCAAAAAAUCAGGAAUAACCUGAUUUUCGCUUCCAAGAAACCAUCGAUUUCUUCAAAUUGGUCAAAUCCUGAGAAAAUAUAGCCCCUCAUGGACUACGAUUAGACUACAACCCAAUGUAGCCGGGAGGAACCGGUGUGACAACUAAUGGCGGAUCCUCAUUUUUCAAAUUGCACCUUUUUCGAUUCAAGGACCGACCGAUACUUGGCCGGGCAGCGCAGAACAGGUUUUAUUAAUUUUUGGUAAUGUUUUGUCGAUUUAUCAUUUUCCAGGUUUUUUUUUGAUGCCGGACAACUAAACGGCACCCAAAUGAAGCGAAAGGAUUGCAGCACGCAGAAGGAUUAGACGAUCCUUUUACGACCCCUGUUUGCUGCAGGAGGUCAUCAGUGUCACUACCGGUCACUUUUUCGCUCGAACCGUCAGGCUCAAAGGCUAAAGAAGGGAAAGGGUUCGCCUUCACUCAUUAAUUGUACCAACAACCGAAAAAUGAGAAUUUUCCCAUCGAACAGGAAUUGAAGGGCCAUUGUUGGGAGGACUCUAGUGGAUUUUUCAUCGGUCGGGGUGACAUGACGAAGGAGAACCCAUUUUUUCCCGUUACCCGUGGCCCCGCUCAGUUGAGAAACGUAUACGACAUGUUUCGAAGUGCUACAGUUUGUGUCCCAUGUGUAGGUAAUCAAAUAUUCAGAUUGCGGAAAUCGUGUGAAUAUGAAAGUUCCCUUAUUCCUUCGCCAACCACCGAAUGCUGACACUGAUUGGAACAUAGGCUGUUCUGUGGUCAACGGAAACAUAUUGCGUCAAACGCAGGCAAAUUGAUUUCUAAAUCUAGGCUUAUCGAUUAGCGUCUGACUCAAAUGGCACGGCAGAAAGUUGGUGUCUUCGACAAAGUUUAAGAAAUGCUCAUAAUGAAGAAUUUUGUUGAACAACUUGAAC
Long non-coding RNA from Topomyia yanbarensis, 941 nucleotides. RefSeq lists it as uncharacterized. The transcript has 3 exons. Lineage: Eukaryota; Metazoa; Arthropoda; Insecta; Diptera; Culicidae. The record is from RefSeq and is a predicted model, not a curated record.